RNA transcript from Galleria mellonella (greater wax moth), 2593 nucleotides. RefSeq lists it as uncharacterized. The record is from RefSeq and is a predicted model, not a curated record. The transcript has 2 exons. NCBI's taxonomy places the organism in Eukaryota, Metazoa, Arthropoda, Insecta, Lepidoptera, Pyralidae.
AGAGAACAGCGCGAUUACUAGUCAAAACAAAUUUUGUUACAAUUGGUGUCUCUGUUUUGUGAAGCAAUAUGCUUUUGUGGGUUUUUGGGACAAUAUUUCUUUUAAAUUAAAAAAAAAAUUGACAAAGAAACUAAAUUUUUGUAAUAAUAGGGCAAGGACAUAAAUGACAAUUCUCGUAGAGGAGAAACGAGGGUUCAAAAAAUUUGACUGUCAACAUAUUUGUCACUAUGACAAAGUAUCUAAAUUUCAGUAACAAUAGGACAAUGACAUAAAUGACAACUCUCGGAAAAGACAAACAAUAAUUACAACAAAUACAAACGAAUUGAAGGUCGCGUUGGCUACUCGGUAGUCGUACAAACGGGAACCUGGGAUCCAACAUAAGCGCCUCGAGGUACGUCGUGUGGUUUUUAGUGGGUAGAAUCCCACACACCCCAGCUGCCCUCCCUCCGGCAGAUGGGACGGUCUAUAGCUGAAGAUUUUCCACACGGAAGAAAAAAAAAAGGAUUGUGUUUUACAUAAAAAAAAGCCAACGUCAUUUGUGACAAAAUUAGUUAUUUGCAUUUAAAAACUAAACUACUGGGCAGAUUUUGAUAAAAAAUUUAUUGGGCCAAUUUAUAAGUAUAUCCUUUCAGUCGAAAAUCGGUUUUCGACUGUCAAAGUUAUGGGGUGACAAACAUAAGAACAAAAUAUAACCGAAUUGAGAACCCCUUUUUUUGAAGUCGGUUAAAAAUAAAGAAAAUUCUGUAUAGUGUUUCAUAGCCAAAUUUUAUUCACCGAAUGAUUUUUAAUACAUUUAUCCGUCUAAAUAACGGGUAUACAAAUUGAAUUGUAAACUAGUUUAUAUGUUAAUUUUCGAAUCAAACUGGUCGUUGCCUUCCGUGUUGCAGCUCUAGUAACAGGAAAAAAUCAGCAAUGUGAUAAAAAAUCUAAUCUGAGCGCCAGUAAUAAAUCAAUACUAUGUAAUAUGCAUUCACAUACUUUUUAACCGACUUCAAAAAAGGAGAUUGUUAAUGUGGUUAUAUUUUUUCUGAAGCUUUUUAAAUGACUUCAAAAAAUACUUUUAUAUUGAAGUAAUUUAAAAAGUAUUAAAGUAAUAUUAUAUGUAUAUAACUAGCUUUUAGCCGAGACUUUGUCCGCGUGACCGGGAUAAUAAUUUAAGACAGAAAAAAAACGACUUCAAUCGUGGCAAAACCAAAUUAAUUUUGAUUUUAAAACUAUCUGAAUUGAUUUUUUAUAAAGGUUCUAUGGGACCAAUUUGUCCAAUCCGUUUUAUAAAUGACAAUAUGUGUAUUGAGGUAACAAAUAUAAAAAAAUACAAUCGAGUUGAGAAACUCUAUUUUUGAAGUCAGUUAACAAUGACGAGCUAUUAUUAACCUAGUAUGUGCAGUGUUAAUUUAGUAAUUAAUAUCGUCAUUCAUCAUCAUCACCAUUAUCAUGACAGCCGUUAACUGUCCACUCCAGAACAUAGCCUCCCCCUAUGAGGGGCUUUGUCAGUAGUUGCCACGAUUGGCAGGCGGGUUGGCAACCGCGGUUAGGCUUUGAUGUUUGAAGGACACUGCUGCCUAUACCUCGACCACUAAGUUCCCUUAGUGACCUCUCACGACACCCACGGUAAAGGAAGGUGUGGUCCAUUCUAUGCCGGGACCUACACGGCGCUAGAUAGAUACUCUUUAUUGUUUUUUCCAAAAGAAUAUAAUAGUAAAGUUAUAGAUACAAACAAUUACAAGAAACUGAAGGGGUUAGGUAUGUUAUUCCAGCAUUUAGUCGAAUGGUAAUGAAAACAUACGGUCCAAGUGACAGUCCUAUGAAUAUAAACCUCCAACGGGGAUCGUGUUAUAUACAUAUCAUUACUACAUAGCAUAAAACCAAGUCACGUGGCUAUAUAUAUAUUAUUGCACUAAAACAUACAGUAACAACAAUAAGUUAAUAACAAUGUUAGCAAAGGCUAUUCUAAUAGCAUCAUAGCUAAUAAACAAGUUUGUAAUCUGUUCAUGUACCACAGAAAUAUAAAUUUAAACAAGUAGAAAUAUAAAUUUAACUCCGUAUUGUCUAUCCAUUGUCUAGUGCAUACAGUACAAGGUCUGUCUAGUUUGGAACUAGAUGGCGGUGUGUAGCAUUUACUUCUUUUAUCGUACCGUUAUCAUUGAGUUAAGCAAAGAUAAGAACAGAAGCUAUCUUGAUAACCGAGGUCUAUGACAGAUUUUUUUAUAAUCGCAUUCUUUAUAAUUGUCGCUUUGUGCAUUAUACGGGUGAAACGUGGACGUCUGCCAGAGUUAUGUAAAAAGAAGUUGUGUGUUUUAUAUAUAGAAUGUACCAAACGUUAAUAGUACAAUUUGCUAAUAGAAUUUUAAAUAUUUACAAGCAAGUGAACCGUGAUAAAAUUAUGAACCGGUCUGCUGUGGCUCUGGCUGCCAUCGGCUUCGGGCUCUCCACCUUCAGCAUCCGCCAGAUGAUCAUCAAUCAUUCGAGGCGAAUGUAAACACCGCAGAACAUUCUAGACGCUUCUAGAACUCACUACAUCGCUUAACAUUGAUGAAGUCUCGAAAAACUUGACUUUGCAUGUAUUGAUUAAAAGUUCCCACCAAAAAUCUUA